GACGAACGCUGGCGGCGUGCUUAACACAUGCAAGUCGAACGGAAAGGCCCUGCUUUUGUGGGGUGCUCGAGUGGCGAACGGGUGAGUAACACGUGAGUAACCUGCCCUUGACUUUGGGAUAACUUCAGGAAACUGGGGCUAAUACCGGAUAGGAGCUCCUGCUGCAUGGUGGGGGUUGGUAAGUUUCGGCGGUUGGGGAUGGACUCGCGGCUUAUCAGCUUGUUGGUGGGGUAGUGGCUUACCAAGGCUUUGACGGGUAGCCGGCCUGAGAGGGUUACCGGCCACAUUGGGACUGAGAUACGGCCCAGACUCCUACGGGAGGCAGCAGUGGGGAAUAUUGCACAAUGGGCGGAAGCCUGAUGCAGCAACGCCGCGUGCGGGAUGACGGCCUUCGGGUUGUAAACCGCUUUCGCCUGUGACGAAGCGUGAGUGACGGUAAUGGGUAAAGAAGCACCGGCUAACUACGUG
This 468-nucleotide ribosomal RNA is filed under the name uncultured bacterium. Its description in RNAcentral is "partial 16S ribosomal RNA". It matches the Rfam family "Bacterial small subunit ribosomal RNA", at positions 28 to 507 of the family's 1533-position model. The record is from RNAcentral.